AAGGAUCAUUACCAAAACACCUCCCAGUAGCAGAACCAUGGUUUUUUUUGGCCCCUUGGGUCUGCUACGCUCAUCAAACCUGUCAUUGCAUGUACGGUGUGGGUUGGGGUGGCAUCCUCCUUUUGUCGGGUUGCCCCUCAAGUAUGUAAACAUGAAUAUAACUUUCAACAACGGAUCUCUUGGCUCUC
This 188-nucleotide unclassified non-coding RNA is filed under the name uncultured fungus. Its description in RNAcentral is "partial contains 18S rRNA, ITS1, 5.8S rRNA, ITS2 and 28S rRNA". Lineage: Eukaryota; Fungi. The record is from RNAcentral.